AGGACGUCGUUCCGAGCGCGGCCGCGGCAGAGCCCCGCGUCCUGAGCGACUGGCUCUUCUGUCCAGCGCCGGCGCGCGGGUCCCCGGCCAGGGCUGGGGUCUCGCACCGGCGUCGGUUGUGGCCCGGGCCAGCCGCGACGGGCGCCCCACAGCGCAGUCACACUGCGCAGCCGGGGUGGCCACUGCCCUGCGGGGCCCAGCUCUCCCGCGCACGCCCCUGCCACAUACCGACGCGCUGCCCCUGAAAGGCCUACGACGCCUUUUAAGAGACACAAAAAACCUUGAGCGGAGCCCUCUGACUCUAACGAGAACAUUACAAGAUGUGUCUUACCCGCAAGCAGGACUGGGACCUUCGCCUCCAGCCAGCGCGCAGCUGCCACUCUUUGAUUUGCCUCCCGCUUACUUCUAUACCAUGUUAAGUGCGUGUGAGUGACACAGGAGGGCCACCCGCGGCCUACUAGAAUACGGGCAGCCCUCAGUGGCAGAAGCCAUCCCUCCUUGAGCACAGCUCUACUGCCCAAAACCGCAGGAGAACAACAGGUGUCCCCGGCAAACUGAAACACUUGCCAGCACGUUAUCAAGCACAAGUGGAGAGACAAAACUGGUUUAGCAAAUGCUGUGUGAAGAUUGAAGCAGAACUGUCUGGACUUUUCUGAAGACGGAAGCAUAGUCUUAAAACUAUCUCGCCUGAAACAGUCGACAAGAAAGUAGGAUUUAGCAUAAAGUCCGGGCCCCCGGAUCUGAGGCACCCGUGGACGUGACAGCUUGCACUAGAGAAGUGUUAACAGUCCCUGCAUAUACGACAGCUCCCGCGUCUUCAACAUGGGGCGUCCGCCUCUGGGUCUCGAGUGGCCACUCCCUGCCACCAGCAGGAGGGAGGAGUGGGCACCUGGCCCUUCUGCUUCCCUUGGGCCGCACCAGGCAGCAAAGUGGGCCUAAAAAUGUAACCUUGCGCAGGGCGAUAUGUACCCAGCUUCGAUGCUAUUACUGCAUGCAAAGGUGGCAAUGACAGAUCGUCAGGAACCCGAUCUGCCUUACACUCUUUGGAUUUUUUACUCUUAAACCAAAAUUUCUGUGAAUCCUGAGAGACAUUCACAGCCCUAAAAGGUGGUAGGUUUCACAAGAAACAGCUGGAAGACUUUUGUCACCGUGAGCUACCUGGAAACAAUUGCGGUUCUGUCUCCAGCAGUGAAGAGGCAGGUAAAAGACAGCAUGGGACGUUGUGUGUGCGGCCACAGCCAUGUUGAGUCUAUGAGGAUCUGCUCACACAGCGACGCAGAGAGCUUGCAAUCUGCACGUUCUACAAUAUACAACUGUGGGAAACUUUCACAAUGGUGUGUGCUCAUAGAUAGCGGUAAGAAAGUGAUAGAAAAAAUAUAUGUAAUUGUCUUCAACUUGAGGUAUUUGUGUGAUUUUUAACACAAAGUUCUCUAGGUAUUACACAGGCAUUUUGAGUAUCUGUUUCUUUAAGGCACAAAACAGUGGUCACAGUGCAUUUCAAGAGGGGUGCAAAGUUUCACUCAUGCUUUAGUCCCAAAAUAAAAAUCAAAACAAUAGCCCCUUUGAAUUUCUUUGAGUCUCUUUUUAAUGCUUUGAAAUAGGCUUCUUUCUCAAGUGUUCUCUAAGCCUCCAGAGUGGAUUUCCUCUCCAGAACCAUCUCGCUUUCCAUCCAACCUGAAUACUCACCUCAGAGUGGGAGGGGUGGAAUGGCAAAUCCAGGACAGCCCAGGUCCAGAGUCUGGGAGUGUUCCAGCAAGCCUCGCCCAGGGACAUUGUCCCCACAGAGAAGGUACAGCAGAGAACACCCUCUGAGGAAGCCUCUUGACUGGCCGCUGCACUCCGCCCCUGCCGAGAUUUUGUAGGUGCCCUUCCUAAGCAGCAACCAUGACGACUUGCGCCUGUGAGCUCCCUCUACCUAUAAGGCAAAAGAUAAGUGUUGCACAAACAGGGAACAUGAGGCUUUAAAUUACUGAGAGUUCCAUGACUAGACUUUGCAGAGCAGAGUCUCAAACACUCAACUCCACAAUCAUCAUGACUGUGUUGCCCCCUUCUCUUGGGUGGUCAUCAGGGCUCUGCCCUACCCGUCGCCACCCCCACUCCCUGCUGUGGGGACUUGACCACUCUCUUCUCCUACCCUCUCAUUUGGAAACUUCACCUUCCGCGUCAGAUCCUCUGUGGUUAUGAUUUCCCAGAUACUGCCUCUUCCUCCUGCCAACGCCGUAGUUGCCAGUUGUGUGUGCUUCCAUGCACACAAACAUACAUGCACAUGUUCUUUAGGCUCUGAAGGCACAUGCCACCGCUGUCUAGGGGGAGGGGAGGGAUGGAAGGAUGGAAACAUUGAGGGAUGGUACGUAGAGGAUAUGUAGCUCCAUUUGGGGUGAGGGAGAUGUCCUAAAAUCGACUGCUGAUGUUUGCAUGCCUCUAAGAAUACACCAAAAACCACUGAAUUGUGCAUUUUAAAUGGAUGAAUUGUAUGGCAUGUGGAAUUAUAUUUCAAUAAAAAGAGGAGGUGGAUUAGGGUUUCUAGAAGAUACGACUGAUUCUAUAUCUGAGACAGAGAAAACACAAGGCAAGUCCAGAAUAUUGUUGUCCCAGGAUGCAAUGAGGUGCUCAAAGACUGGCAGAGGUGAGAGAGACGUGGAUUGAAAGAGAUCUCUCUGGCCAAAUCUGGGACAAGGGGAACAUCAAUAGGAAUAAUGCCAGUAAUGGAUAUUAAUGAUUAUAAUUUCCUUUUAAGUCAGUAAACAAUUAACUGAAUGUCUGGCAGUUGGUGUGUGAGACUACAGAUAAGCCAACCAGGGGUUGUGCUAGGAUUACCCAUGGGAUAAGGAAAUCACACUGGAGACAUCCAUGUAAAAUCAUGCUUAGUUUAGUAUGGAUGCAGAGGGUUACAUACAGAAAGAGAUAAAUGCAUAUCGAUGCAAGGACUUACAUGUCCUUGCCCCCAGUUGUGAUGACUCAAAAGCAAUGGUAGCCCAGUAGCAAUGAGCACACUUAGUUCCCAAAUCUUGGUUUCUAAUACCAUCCCUCAGUGAAAGUGCUCCUUGGAGAAAUAGCUGAUUUUAGGACUGGGACAUUAUAGAAAAUAUAUGGAAUGAGCCAGAAGGAUGCUGCAGAAUCAGAAAGUAAGAAAGUGCUAAAAAAAAAAAGAAAAGAAAAGAAAAGAAAACACAGAAUAAAGAAACCCACAAUCAUGGGAGUAUGUCAAAGAGACUCAGUAACCAAGAGAAAGACCUCUCCGGUUGCCAGAUCUGGAACUAGUUGGACAUAAAUAAAGCACUGCAAGAUUAUAACAGAAAGCAGAAAUUAAGUAUCCACAAAUCCCACUGAUAUAAAAUAAAUGAUUGAAUAAAUAAAUGGGAGAGAAGAGACAAAUCUCCCAAGUAGAAGAAUUCGGAAUAACGUACAUAGACA
This 3414-nucleotide long non-coding RNA is filed under the name Mustela putorius furo (domestic ferret). Its description in RNAcentral is "lncRNA (ENSMPUG00000028878.1)". The record is from RNAcentral. Lineage: Eukaryota; Metazoa; Chordata; Mammalia; Carnivora; Mustelidae.